AGCCUUAAGUCAAUAUUUUAGGUGAUCCCUGCCCACUGCUAUAAGUCAAGGGCCGCAGUACCUUGACUGUGCUAAGGUAGCGAAAUCAAUAGACUUUUAAAUGAAGCCCAGAAUGAAGGGGACCUCGGAAAUUAACUGUUUCAAGGUGGAUUAGAAAUUUAUUAGGAGGUGAAAAUUCCUCCAUUAUUAUAAAAGACGAGAAGACCCCGGGAUCUUUGAGCUAAGCUUUUUGUUGGGGCAACAGUAGACAAACCUCUAAAAAUUGAUAUCAAGCCAGUUAAGGCACGAGAAAGAUACCCCGGGGAUAACAGCAUAAUUAAAUUUUAGUUUAUGACCUCGAUGUUGGACUAGGGAUUUUAUGGUUAGCCGCCAAAGAAAGUAGUUCUGUUCGAACAAGAUCCCCU
Molecule: ribosomal RNA, 404 nt
Filed under: Pontohedyle sp. AB34858164
Lineage: Eukaryota; Metazoa; Mollusca; Gastropoda; Acochlidiacea; Microhedylidae
Description: partial 16S ribosomal RNA
Rfam family: Bacterial large subunit ribosomal RNA
Source: RNAcentral